CGGCGUGCUUAACACAUGCAAGUCGAACGGAAAGGCCCUGCUUGCAGGGUACUCGAGUGGCGAACGGGUGAGUAACACGUGGGUGAUCUGCCCUGCACUUCGGGAUAAGCUUGGGAAACUGGGUCUAAUACCGGAUAGGAACCAUCUUUAGUGUGGUGGUUGGAAAGUUUUUUCGGUGUAGGAUGAGCUCGCGGCCUAUCAGCUUGUUGGUGGGGUAAUGGCCUACCAAGGCGGCGACGGGUAGCCGGCCUGAGAGGGUGUACAGCCACAUUGGGACUGAGAUACGGCCCACACUCCUAGGGGAGGCAUCAGUGGGGAAUAUUGCACAAUGGGCGCAAGCAUGAUGCAGCGACGCCGCGUGGGGGAUGAAGGCCUUCGGGUUGUAAACUCCUUUCGCUAGGGACGAAGCUUUUUGUGACGGUACCUAGAUAAGAAGCACCGGCUAACUACGUGCCAGCAGCCGCGGUAAUACGUAGGGUGCGAGCGUUGUCCGGAAUUACUGGGCGUAAAGGGCUCGUAGGUGGUUUGUCGCGUCGUCUGUGAAAUUCUGGGGCUUAACUCCGGGCGUGCAGGCGAUACGGGCAUAACUUGAGUGCUGUAGGGGUAACUGGAAUUCCUGGUGUAGCGGUGAAAUGCGCAGAUAUCAGGAGGAACACCGAUGGCGAAGGCAGGUUACUGGGCAGU
RNAcentral lists this ribosomal RNA (684 nucleotides) under uncultured Actinomycetales bacterium. Its description in RNAcentral is "bacterial SSU rRNA". It matches the Rfam family "Bacterial small subunit ribosomal RNA", at positions 40 to 737 of the family's 1533-position model. The record is from RNAcentral. Lineage: Bacteria; Bacillati; Actinomycetota; Actinomycetes; Actinomycetales.